UUGUUUCUCGGGAGGAACUGAAAAGAACAAAAAAAGACACAUUCAUCGAUAAAGCGUCCUCAAGCGAAGUGUUGUCUACUGGCAAUUCAAACAAACAGCUACUACUGGCAAUUAUUUAAAAGGCGAUCAACCGAUCAUUACCAGUAGCUAAGGCGGCUAAGAGUGCUUGCCUGUACGCGGUAUGAACGAAUUGCUGAUUAUAAGGAGCAGCGAGGCGCGGCUACUAUGAUUGAAUUUUUAUAGAAACAUACCAGUACAGUACCCCAUGAGGCACCCUCCCCAUGAAGGCAUGAGGAUGAGGGACACCCUGUUUCGGUGUUUCCCUACGGGGUAAUGCAGCAAUCCAAGAAUAACACUCCAACACGCUCCAGUAGUCAAUUGCUGAUUAGCAAUCGCACAGGCGUCGUUAAACAACGUUAACGUAAUUUACGUUACAACGCAUUGAAGCAGUCUGCCCGCGGCCUAUCUCGCGCGUGUUAUUGUGAUGUUAGAAAAGGUUGAAAUUGAAUCCUAAAAAGGAAACAACAUGCAGCGGCAGGAAUGAUGAUGAAAUACUCUACCCAACCGCGAAUGUAAUGCAAGUCUCUCUUAUCAAUUCGCAAUGUAUGCAGUUGCAAAAAAAUACGAUUGUCAAAGAAUCACACCUCGGUCGCUUGUGAGUGGUGUAAGUGAUCUGAUUAGGUUGGAGCAUUGCAUCGCUCUUGUUGAUCGAUUACGGACGAUCAAUUACAACGCAUAAUGGUUUUUUUGGGCAGUAGUUUGAAGAAGGUUCAAUCUCAUCGGUCCCACUUAGCGCCGUUGCUAAACGACACUAAUUAGCCGAUAAACACACCAGUCGGUCUCGUGCCCGGGUCCCACUCGUGUUGGAGGCUCGCCAGCCAGCCGUCUCGAUAAUUGGUGGUUUGAGAAAACGUGCCCCAUGCCCCAUCAACCUCCCAUUAGUCUACCUCCGCUCGCACGGGGAUAGCAAAGAUAGGUCAAUAUCUUACUCUACUCAAUCGAACCCCAGCGUGGAGCUCUGUCUUACUUCACACUUGACUGCGCUAAAACACACGCUCUGUCGUAGAACGUGAGCGGCACGUUUCGCUACUGUUACGCCCCGACCAACGUGUAUUCUGGGCAUUGGUCCAGAGAUGGGAAAAACUCUCCCUCAAAGCUUUAAGCUUCAUGUGCAAGCGAAGAAAAACGUGCAGAAGAACCACGUCCCACGAACGAGCAUAAUGAAGCGCCCCCAUGCCAGGCCCGGCGAAUCGGUGCGUGCUGUGGCGAAAAUGAUUAUCAACGCAUCACUCUCCGGUCACCCGUUUGCUGCAUGAUUCGGAGGGGAGCCCCGGGACGGAUAAGACGGACGCUUCCCGCACUCCCGGGUCCAACGUUCAGCGCCGCCGAACGCGCGGGACGUGUGUGGCUGAGUGAAGAAGAUUCUUUGCCAUUUAUCAGUAGCAGCCUGGACAAGCUGGACAAUGUCCUCUGGAGUCAAUUUGACCUCCUUUCCCCUGGUGGUGUUGGAUGUGUACGGUUUAUAUGAGCCCCGGGCAAUAAAACAUUACGACAGCUGACUGUGUGUGGACCUGGAGUUUCGCGUCAUAAAAUGGGAAUAGAUAAUGCUUGCUCCGGGGUAAUUCAGACAUGACCUUCCGUUAUUGUCACGGUGCAAUGAGUGGACCUCGAACGAACAAAAAACCAUGAGAUUACACUUUCACUAGAGCAAGGAGCAAAGUCACUAAUUUUAUGUUUUUUUUUUGCCAUAAUAAUGAUCACUUGGAAUUGCACGUUUAUUGUAAAGCACAAAGCUACGAUCGCACGUUUCUUUCGCUCUCGCUCGCUGUUCGGCUGUUUAUUCCAUACGAGGGGAAGAAUUGCGAACCAACGCCUUAUCAGUGCACGGUCACACAACCCUCCGACCGAAGGGUGGGCAACCAAACAUUCUUCCGGAUGGUUCGGUUCUUAUUUACCGAAAAGCUUAGCGUACCUCCCUAAUGGUCCGCUGGUUCGAUCGGUAUAAAAUUCAAGAGAAAAAAAAUAUUAAAAAUCAAAACACACACGUCUGCCAAAAAAGGGUUUGAGGGCCUAGACCUGUUUGCGUGUAGUGUCCACCCGUACCGAUAGCACAACCUUGAACCUGCUUGGCUACAGGGAACGUCUCGAAAGAAUGGCUUCUAAGCCACAACAGGAAAAUAAAAACACUUCUCAUGAGAGAAACAACAAUCA
Long non-coding RNA from Anopheles gambiae (African malaria mosquito), 2211 nucleotides. RefSeq lists it as uncharacterized. NCBI's taxonomy places the organism in Eukaryota, Metazoa, Arthropoda, Insecta, Diptera, Culicidae. The record is from RefSeq and is a predicted model, not a curated record. The transcript has 2 exons.